UGGGGAAUUUUGGACAAUGGGCGAAAGCCUGAUCCAGCAAUGCCGCGUGUGUGAAGAAGGCCUUCGGGUUGUAAAGCACUUUUGUCCGGAAAGAAAUCCUUGGCUCUAAUACAGUCGGGGGAUGACGGUACCGGAAGAAUAAGCACCGGCUAACUACGUGCCAGCAGCCGCGGUAAUACGUAGGGUGCAAGCGUUAAUCGGAAUUACUGGGCGUAAAGCGUGCGCAGGCGGUUUGCUAAGACCGAUGUGAAAUCCCCGGGCUCAACCUGGGAACUGCAUUGGUGACUGGCAGGCUAGAGUAUGGCAGAGGGGGGUAGAAUUCCACGUGUAGCAGUGAAAUGCGUAGAGAUGUGGAGGAAUACCGAUGGCGAAGGCAGCCCCCUGGGCCAAUACUGACGCUCAUGCACGAAAAGCGUGGGGAGCAAAACAGGAUUAGAUACCCUGGUAGUCCACGCCCUAAACGAUGUCAACUAGUUGUUGGGGAUUCAUUUCCUUAGUAACGUAGCUAACGCGUGAAGUUGACCGCCUGGGGAGUACGGUCGCAAGAUUAAAACUU
Molecule: ribosomal RNA, 556 nt
Filed under: uncultured bacterium
Lineage: Bacteria
Description: partial 16S ribosomal RNA
Rfam family: Bacterial small subunit ribosomal RNA
Source: RNAcentral